UAGCAUUGUCGGUAGUAACGGACUCCAUA
Molecule: small RNA, 29 nt
Filed under: Bombyx mori (domestic silkworm)
Lineage: Eukaryota; Metazoa; Arthropoda; Insecta; Lepidoptera; Bombycidae
Description: ovarian small RNA-22316
Source: RNAcentral